GACGCAAAUGUUAAUAAUGAAACAGAUGAUGUCCGGCAAUGGUAAAAUUAUUAAACUGAAAUCAACCUUGAGAUUAACCUUUGGAAAAAUACCAAAACCGCAUCUACGAUUUGUUUUUACAAUAUAUUACAGGAAAAUAUAUAUAUUGUGAAUUACACUUUCAAACAAAUACAGUUUAAGCGUCGUUGCCAUACUGUUCUAGUGAU
Molecule: long non-coding RNA, 206 nt
Filed under: Mytilus galloprovincialis (Mediterranean mussel)
Lineage: Eukaryota; Metazoa; Mollusca; Bivalvia; Mytilida; Mytilidae
Source: RNAcentral